This is a long non-coding RNA of Drosophila obscura, 544 nucleotides long. RefSeq lists it as uncharacterized. NCBI's taxonomy places the organism in Eukaryota, Metazoa, Arthropoda, Insecta, Diptera, Drosophilidae. The record is from RefSeq and is a predicted model, not a curated record. The transcript is spliced from 3 exons.
UGUUGGCAAAUCCCUCCGUCGAUGCCUUCAUCUGCGGCAUCUGCGCGAAGUGCAGCCGUCCCUCUUGUAUCCGUUGCUCGGCCCAGGUCAUUUUGGCCGUCUCCUCUUCAGAGCGGUCCUUCCUGCCCUGGAGCCGGCCCAUGAUGGGCCCCUGGGGCCCCUGGGCCCAUGGCACGAGCAGUUGUUGAAAAUGGAGGAGAAUGUUAAAAUCAAUAGAGACAUUUAUGGAAAUUUAAACAAUUAAAUCCAUUUUACAGCCAGCUGGAGUGCUCGUCAACUUAAAGCUCAUUUUAAGUGACGAAAUCGUACUGGCGUAUAAUGUGGAUGGGGUCCAAGGAAAGAAAGCCCUCAGGAGCCACUCGGAGUUUUAUGGAGCUUUUCUAGAAUGUAUUCCGCCUGGAGACGAAGCACCGGAAAUGCUGAUGAGCAAAGCUAUGCAAAGGGUUAACAAAAAGAGUUUUAAAGCUAAAGUGCACCAAACCCUAAAAAAAUGAAUUAGAGACUGUGUAGGCUAGGCUAGAUUUUAAUAUAUAUUUUAGUUUUG